This 504-nucleotide ribosomal RNA is filed under the name Rhodotorula mucilaginosa. RNAcentral describes it as "LSU rRNA". It matches the Rfam family "Eukaryotic large subunit ribosomal RNA", at positions 92 to 610 of the family's 3401-position model. The record is from RNAcentral. Lineage: Eukaryota; Fungi; Basidiomycota; Microbotryomycetes; Sporidiobolales; Sporidiobolaceae.
AGCGCAAGCGGGAUGAGCUCAAAUUUAUAAUCUGGCACCUUCGGUGUCCGAGUUGUAAUCUCUAGAAAUGUUUUCCGCGUUGGACCGCACACAAGUCUGUUGGAAUACAGCGGCAUAGUGGUGAGACCCCCGUAUAUGGUGCGGACGCCCAGCGCUUUGUGAUACAUUUUCGAAGAGUCGAGUUGUUUGGGAAUGCAGCUCAAAUUGGGUGGUAAAUUCCAUCUAAAGCUAAAUAUUGGCGAGAGACCGAUAGCGAACAAGUACCGUGAGGGAAAGAUGAAAAGCACUUUGGAAAGAGAGUUAACAGUACGUGAAAUUGUUGGAAGGGAAACGCUUGAAGUCAGACUUGCUUGCCGAGCAAUCGGUUUGCAGGCCAGCAUCAGUUUUCCGGGAUGGAUAAUGGUAGAGAGAAGGUAGCAGUUUCGGCUGUGUUAUAGCUCUCUGCUGGAUACAUCUUGGGGGACUGAGGAACGCAGUGUGCCUUUGGCGGGGGUUUCGACCUCU